AUGAAUUAUCAGCAUUUGGGGUGGGGUGGGGGAGAAGAGAAGAAGAAAAUACAUUGGUUCACGUGGUGGAAAUUGUGUGUACUAAAGAAGAAGGGUGGAUUGGGGUUCAGGGAUCUUCAUAGCUUUAAUCUUGCUAUGUUAUCAAAGCAGUGGUUGCGUCUUCUCCAAAAUCUGAACUCAUUGUGUGCACGUGUAUUAAGUGCUAAAUAUUACACCAAUGGUGAUAUAUUAAAAGUUGGACCGAAGAACGGGUCGUCAUUUAUUUGGCAAAGUAUUGUGGCUCGAAUUCAGACUUUCAAGAGAGGUUGUAUGUUGCGAGUUGGAACGGGCUCGCAAAUAAAUAUUUGA
RNAcentral lists this ribosomal RNA (348 nucleotides) under Triticum aestivum (bread wheat). Its description in RNAcentral is "partial small subunit ribosomal RNA". The record is from RNAcentral. Lineage: Eukaryota; Viridiplantae; Streptophyta; Magnoliopsida; Poales; Poaceae.